Molecule: long non-coding RNA, 1954 nt
Filed under: Sus scrofa (pig)
Lineage: Eukaryota; Metazoa; Chordata; Mammalia; Artiodactyla; Suidae
Description: lncRNA (ENSSSCG00045035860.1)
Source: RNAcentral
GAGGGCCGCCUGCCUGGCCGGACCCCAGGGGUGUCGGACGGUGGGCAGGGCCUCCUGGGAUCCCUGAGGCGCCGGCAGGAGGAGACGCCCUGGGGUCGGUGCCUCCACCUUCCCGUCCGGGCGGUUACAGCUUUCCCGCGUUCGCUGUCAGAGGCAGGGACCGGCGACCUCGGGGGCCUGGUCCCUGAGCCACAGCGGGGAGUCGUCCGAGCAUCUCGGGAUGAGGAAGGCCCAGCUCCCCUGCUGCUGUCAGAGUGUCCUGCUUCCCCCCCUCAGGAAAGCACACCUUUCCUGGUCUCCUCCUCCCUGGAAUCUUGAACUCUGGUGAAGAACAUGGUGAAAUGUUCCAAGUGUAGCAGGGGCGUUACUGAAAGGGAAAAUCGUAACCGAUCAAGUUGAAUCAAAAAAGAGGAAAGAAAGCCCAUCGCGUGUGACAGACAAGAAAGUGCUACCGUUAAAAGGCAAACAGUUCUAGAGUGUGAGUAUAAUAUCAGGAUGAUUUGACUGCAAGCAACAGAGAAUCAAACAGAAAUGGCCUAGGGAGUCCCUUCGUGGCUCCCCAGUUAACAAUCUGACUGGAUCAUGAGGAUGCAGGUUCAAUCCCCGGCCUCUAUCAGUGGGUGAAGGAUCUAGUGCUACCAUGAGCUGUGCUGUGGUGUAGGCUGGCGGCCGCAGCUCCAGUUGGACCCCUAGCCCGGGAACUUCCAUAUGCUGUGGGUGCAGCCCUAAAAAGCAAAAACAAACAAAAAAAUGAAACAAAACAAAACAAAAAAUCCACAAAAAAAUCAGAAAUGGCCUAAACAAAGAAGAAAACGUGUUAUCCCAUACUACAAGAAGUUUGGGGGUUGAGUGGUUAAACGCAUGAUUAGUUUAGAAACUUGACAGCACCACCCAGGACCCAUUUUCCCUAAGGCGCUGCUGCCCCCCACCCUGUAGGCUUAGCCACCGCAGCAAAGACACCCCCCUUCCCCAACCAGAGCCCUGCGUCAGGACUGGAAGGGGCCUCCUUCCCUCCAUCCCCUUCCAGAACCUCCGCAGAAGACUCCCCUUGACGUCUCAUUCCAUCCCAUACUGGUCACUUGGCAGGGGGAACGGAUUUACCAUGGUGGCCAGAGACAAAUUAAGUCGCCUCUGGAUCAUGAAGAGCCCCCAUCUCUGGAGAACACUUGACCACUCAGUACCCAGCAACUCGGGUACUCCUGGCAAGAAAGAGACAGGUGAUACCCACUGGGUCCUGUCCACAGCGCCUGCCCCCAGCAACCUGUCUACCUGGAAAACUGAGGGGGUGCCACGCGGGUCUGUGUCUUCUCUGUAGUUUGCCCGAGUCUUUCCCAUUAGGUAAGUGUCGCCCUUUUCCCUCUUUGCGGCUUUCCUCCUUGGCACGUCACCCAGGUUUUGUUCAGCCACAAGGGGCGAUAGGCUGAAAGAGGAAUCUCCAGGCCUAGGUGAUGGGCCAGCCGUGGUGAUCCUCACCCGUUUGCCUGGGCACCGUUUGGGAAACGUCCCCCUGCUCACCACGGAGAUGAAAGACCAGGUCCCUGGAGGGGCUUCGCGGAAGGAUUUUUCUCCCCAGUAAAGCGGCAGACAAGCCAGAGGUCCGCCGCCCUACGCGCCGUCUGCCUUUGAGCCGCCGCCAGCUCACACCCUUGAGCAGAAACGUUGCAGGGAGGCAGAAAGCGCCGAGUCUCAUGGAUCGUGCUGAGCGUUGCAUCCACCCAGGACUGCUUACCUUCAGACUUCUGCUCCGGUGGCAGAGCAGCAAACCCCUAUUGUGUAAGCCUUUGUAGAUGGCUGGUGCCACUUGCUGCUGAAAGUGACAGAUAAUCUUUCUAGGAAUAUAACCCCUAAAGCCCUUUAUGGUAACAGAUGCACUUAGAGAAUGUAGUUUUCUUUCUUUUUCUUCCUUAAAAAAAAAAAAAAGCUGAAGUCUGCCUCAGGCAAAAAGACAAACUGA